UACGUAGGGCGCAAGCGUUGUCCGGAAUUAUUGGGCGUAAAGAGCUCGUAGGCGGCUUGUCACGUCGGUUGUGAAAGCCCGGGGCUUAACCCCGGGUCUGCAGUCGAUACGGGCAGGCUAGAGUUCGGUAGGGGAGAUCGGAAUUCCUGGUGUAGCGGUGAAAUGCGCAGAUAUCAGGAGGAACACCGGUGGCGAAGGCAGAUCUCUGGGCCGAUACUGACGCUGAGGAGCGAAAGCGUGGGGAGCGAACAGG
RNAcentral lists this ribosomal RNA (253 nucleotides) under uncultured bacterium. RNAcentral describes it as "partial 16S ribosomal RNA". It matches the Rfam family "Bacterial small subunit ribosomal RNA", at positions 524 to 776 of the family's 1533-position model. The record is from RNAcentral.